Ipomoea triloba (trilobed morning glory) is the source of this 602-nucleotide long non-coding RNA. RefSeq lists it as uncharacterized. NCBI's taxonomy places the organism in Eukaryota, Viridiplantae, Streptophyta, Magnoliopsida, Solanales, Convolvulaceae. The transcript has 2 exons. The record is from RefSeq and is a predicted model, not a curated record.
CUCUUAUCUCAUUUCAGUCCUUCGCUCACGGUAGUAGAAACCCUUGUCUCUCCCUCAUUGCUCAUCUUACUCCUUCGGCAACGAAAAGCCUUCUUGAUCGGUGAUCAUGGUGAAAUCAAGAGGAUGACACUCCAAAUCACCAAAACAAGGAGGAAGAAGCACAGACCCUAAUCGGAGCUCUUUGCAAUUUUGAACACGAGCAACCCAUCCAUUUCUAUGACGGUCGAGAACCUCGCGGCAUGGAGUAAUCUGGUCAAUCAAAGGCAACCCAAAGUCAAGCACUUUCCCAAUUGUAUUCUUGGAACUCCUUGGGUCAAAAUCAAGAUGAGAAUCAUAACCCCAUGACUCGGAAGAAUACUCGCUCUCGAGUCGUCAAAACACAAUGGGUCAUCCUCGAAAAAAUAUUUGACGACAUCUGCGACAUUAAAGGUCUUUGAAAUUCUCCAAUUGCCCGAGAGGUAAAUAACAUACAUGUUAUCAUUGAUAUUAUUGAUAAUCUUGAAGGAGAUAAACUUCUUUGGACUUAGCUUCUAAAAAUUACUUAUUGGAAUUCUUGUUUUAUGAAUAAAAAACAUCAACUGGUCACCCACUUAGAAAGCCAA